This 406-nucleotide ribosomal RNA is filed under the name uncultured bacterium. Its description in RNAcentral is "partial 16S ribosomal RNA". It matches the Rfam family "Bacterial small subunit ribosomal RNA", at positions 28 to 526 of the family's 1533-position model. The record is from RNAcentral.
AUUGAACGCUGGCGGCAGGCCUUACACAUGCAAGUCGAGCGGCCGGCGGGUGGGUGAGUAAUGGCUGGGAACCUGCUUGCUGGGGGGGGCUAACUGCUGGCGACGCUAGUUCAUAACGCGCAUCGUCAGGUGUACCCCGAUGGGACUAGCUAGUGGGUGGGGUAACGGCUCACAUAGGCGACGAUCCCUGGCUGGUCUGAGAGGACGACCAGCCACACUGGAACUGAGACACGGGCCAGACUCCUACGGGAGGCAGCAGUGGGGAAUAUUGCACAAUGGGCGAAAGCCUGAUGCAGCCAUGCCGCGUGUGUGAAGAAGGCCUUCGGGUUGUAAAGCACUUUCGGCGGGAAGGCGGUACCCGCAGAAGAAGCACCGGCUAACUCCGUGCCAGCAGCCGCGGUAAUAC